This 492-nucleotide ribosomal RNA is filed under the name uncultured bacterium. RNAcentral's name for it is "partial 16S ribosomal RNA". It matches the Rfam family "Bacterial small subunit ribosomal RNA", at positions 30 to 507 of the family's 1533-position model. The record is from RNAcentral.
AUUGAACGCUGGCGGCAUGCCUUACACAUGCAAGUCGAACGGUAACACGCCUACGGGUUGUUACUAGUGGUGACCGGGGGCGGAAAGGUUCGGAAUAAAUCCAGAUCUAGGUUUUCGUGCAGGAAAAGGUAGGACAACCUACCCUCAUACCUGAAGCUGCAUACGGGUGAACACAGAGCACAUUUCGGCCUUGCGCCCUUGCAUGAGCCGAUGUCAGAUUCGCUAGUUGGUGGGGUAAAGUCCGACCAAGCCGACGAUCCGUCGCUGGUCUGAGAGAAUGACCAGCCACACUGGGACUGAGACACGGUCCAGACUCCUACGGGAGGCAGCAGUGGGGAAUUUUGGACAAUGGGCGCAAGCCGGAUCCAGCAAUGCCGCGUGAGGGAAGAAGGCCUUCGGGUUGUAAACCGCUUUUGUACGGAAAGAAAAGGCUCUGGCUAAUACCUGGGGCUGAUGACGGUACCGUAAGAAUAAGCACCGGCUAACUACGUG